AGUUCCAGUGGUGGGAGAAGGCUGUUCCUCCAACCCCCACCCCAAAAAAAAAAAAACCACAAGAAUUUACAUCAACCACACAUAAGAUGGAACUGGAAUGAACAAUAUAGGGUCAUCAAUAAAAUGGGCAAUAAUUUGGUAAUUGAAAUGAAUGAUGAUAGAACUAAAUCUAUGUCAUAAACAAAAUGAAUUCCUUAGAAAACAAAAAGUCCACGGGAAACAAUAUAUUCAGUUAUUAUCAACCGUUAAAGUCAUUCACCACUACUCUAUUUGUUGUUUUGCUAUGCUAAACUACAUAAUGAAACACUAAAUCCUAGUCAACUGCUAUUUCAAAUCCAUAUAUGCAUGAAGGACUGCUUAAAAUUCACUUGUCAAUAAGCUGGAAGCAUGUAGACUGACCACAUUUCACCAUGAACUCAGAAAAUUAAAAACUGAAAAAUAAAAGUUAAUGAUUGAUGGCCAACAAUUGUAACUCAUUCUGGAUUCUACAAAAGGAUCAGAGGCAGCACAGAUAAGCACCACCAAACAGUAGUGGGUUCAGGAAUGAAAACUAGAACUGGGGCAUGAAACAAUAAUUCAUAUGAUGUAAAAUGAAGUAGGCAUUGAUGAAUUGCAAACCUAGAACUUCUCAUAGAUAAGUUUCAGCUAGCCCUUGCCCAGUAGCCUUUGGCUUCAAAGCAACCAAAAACCACAAUAAGCAACAGAAACGUGGAUCUUAUUUAGACACGAUGCACGCCAUUUAGACAGUAGUUUUAAAUUUAUAAAUUUCUGUUAAUCUUUUAUCAACACUACUCAGGAAAACUUCAUUCUAAAACCUAAAUCACACAACUAGUAAGACAACCCACUUGCUCUAAAUAACUUACUAAACACACAGUCGCUUAUACAAAGAAGUUUCCCUCUGAUAAAAAACAAAGGGGAAAACAACUACGACCAUAGCCAGCAGAUUUAAAUGACAUUGUUUUAUGCGUUAAAUUAUUGCGACCUCAGAUUUCUCCCCUCGUGCAACCACACAAGUAAUAAACAAUAAAAAAGAAUACUCUUUUACCAAACACUCCUUUUCCGAAGACCUUCAAAAUUGAGCUCAGAAAUGCUAAUAAUGUAGUUAUUGAGUCAGAAUUCAAACAAUGAUAUACCAAUGGUUAUAUUAAUAAGUUUUCGUUUCAAUUAAAAAUCUCCAUUUAACUGCAUUACCAAGAAAAAUUGCAAAUCAAAAUAAUCGGCCAAAAAAAAAAAAAA
RNAcentral lists this unclassified non-coding RNA (1236 nucleotides) under Hevea brasiliensis (rubber tree). The record is from RNAcentral. Lineage: Eukaryota; Viridiplantae; Streptophyta; Magnoliopsida; Malpighiales; Euphorbiaceae.